Long non-coding RNA from Empidonax traillii (willow flycatcher), 248 nucleotides. RefSeq lists it as uncharacterized. Lineage: Eukaryota; Metazoa; Chordata; Aves; Passeriformes; Tyrannidae. The transcript is spliced from 3 exons. The record is from RefSeq and is a predicted model, not a curated record.
GACCCACAAGUUAGUUCUGACCCAGUAAUAACUUAUCUAGUGUCUUAACAGAGCACUCAAGAGAAAACGAGGAGAACAUGGUCUCUACAAUCAGUAAUCAAGCACUAUGUAAUGCAGAGAUAACUUAGCACCCUUCCUAUAUAAAGAAUAUGAGUAAUGAGACAACAUUAUGUUAAGAAACUGGUUGACAUAAACAGUAAAUGGACUGUGCUCUGUUCAAUGGAGGCUGGGGCAGGAUGUAUGAUGAG